Molecule: long non-coding RNA, 297 nt
Filed under: Eucalyptus grandis
Lineage: Eukaryota; Viridiplantae; Streptophyta; Magnoliopsida; Myrtales; Myrtaceae
Description: long non-coding RNA (EGRA_LNC002921)
Source: RNAcentral
UUUGGCACCACAAAUAAGCUAAACCUCAUUGGUACUGCUGAUUUGUUGGAGAGAUCCAGCAACACUAUGAGAGAAGAGGUGAAGUUGAACUUCAUCUAGAGAUGAAGAAGCUUUUAUUAUCUCUCAUAGACCUAAUGAAGAGACAAAGGCUCUGAGAAUGUCAAUGGAGGGGUUGAGGAGAAGAGUUGAGGGGACUUUUCAGAAAAGAACCAACUUUCAAUUCCAUAUCAGAAAAGAGGAGGCAGGGCAGGUACCUUCCUUUUGGUUAUGGGUUUUCUUCUUCUUCUUUUUUGCCCU